UGGAAGUAAAAAGUCGUAACAAGGUCUCCGUUGGUGAACCAGCGGAGGGAUCAUUACUGAGUUUACGCUCUACAACCCUUUGUGAACAUACCUAUAACUGUUGCUUCGGCGGGUAGGGUCUCCGUGACCCUCCCGGCCUCCCGCCCCCGGGCGGGUCGGCGCCCGCCGGAGGAUAACCAAACUCUGAUUUAACGACGUUUCUUCUGAGUGGUACAAGCAAAUAAUCAAAACUUUUAACAACGGAUCUCUUGGUUCUGGCAUCGAUGAAGAACGCAGCGAAAUGCGAUAAGUAAUGUGAAUUGCAGAAUUCAGUGAAUCAUCGAAUCUUUGAACGCACAUUGCGCCCGCCAGCAUUCUGGCGGGCAUGCCUGUUCGAGCGUCAUUUCAACCCUCAAGCUCUGCUUGGUGUUGGGGCCCUACAGCUGAUGUAGGCCCUCAAAGGUAGUGGCGGACCCUCCCGGAGCCUCCUUUGCGUAGUAACUUUACGUCUCGCACUGGGAUCCGGAGGGACUCUUGCCGUAAAACCCCCAAUUUUCCAAAGGUUGACCUCG
RNAcentral lists this ribosomal RNA (551 nucleotides) under fungal sp. GZ-2010a. Its description in RNAcentral is "eukaryotic LSU rRNA". The stretch from base 229 to 382 matches the Rfam family "5.8S ribosomal RNA". The record is from RNAcentral. Lineage: Eukaryota; Fungi.